Molecule: ribosomal RNA, 408 nt
Filed under: Campylobacter gracilis
Lineage: Bacteria; Pseudomonadati; Campylobacterota; Epsilonproteobacteria; Campylobacterales; Campylobacteraceae
Description: bacterial SSU rRNA
Rfam family: Bacterial small subunit ribosomal RNA
Source: RNAcentral
AGUGAACGCUGGCGGCGUGCCUAAUACAUGCAAGUCGAACGGAAUUUAAAAGAGCUUGCUCUUUUAAAUUUAGUGGCGCACGGGUGAGUAAUAUAUAGCUAAUCUGCCCCUUGCUGGAGGACAACAGUUAGAAAUGACUGCUAAUACUCCAUACUCCUUUUUACCAUAAGAUAAAUCGGGAAAGAAUUUCGGCAAGGGAUGAGACUAUAUCGUAUCAGCUAGUCGGUGGGGUAACGGCCUACCGAGGCUAUGACGCGUAACUGGUCUGAGAGGAUGAUCAGUCACAUUGGAACUGAGACACGGUCCAAACUCCUACGGGAGGCAGCAGUAGGGAAUAUUGCGCAAUGGGGGAAACCCUGACGCAGCAACGCCGCGUGGAGGAUGACACUUUUCGGAGCGUAAACUCCU